This 253-nucleotide ribosomal RNA is filed under the name uncultured bacterium. RNAcentral describes it as "partial 16S ribosomal RNA". It matches the Rfam family "Bacterial small subunit ribosomal RNA", at positions 524 to 776 of the family's 1533-position model. The record is from RNAcentral.
UACGGAGGAUGCAAGCGUUAUCCGGAAUGAUUGGGCGUAAAGCGUCCGCAGGUGGCAAUGUAAGUCUGCUGUCAAAGCGUCUGGCUCAACCAGAUAAAGGCAGUGGAAACUACAUAGCUAGAGUAAGGUAGGGGUAGAGGGAAUUCCUGGUGUAGCGGUGAAAUGCGUAGAGAUCAGGAAGAACACCGGUGGCGAAAGCGCUCUGCUGGACCUUAACUGACACUGAGGGACGAAAGCUAGGGGAGCGAAUGAG